GCUUAGGUUCUCUCCGCCCACCUUCCGGGUUGUGGGUUACAUUGGGCUCUACUCGGGGGAGCAGGGGUCGUGAGAGGGGGCGUGGUCCCGGAGCUGGAGCGGUGCGGACCUGCGCGGGGUGGGCUGCGUGAGGGCGCGCUCUCCUCCCGAAGGCAGCGUCGCGAAUCAGCGCUCAUUCAUUCGUUUCGCGAACGCACGCCGCUGCCAGGGAGGAGGUCCCUGUCUAGCACUGCCCGUCUGUUUACUUUCGCGUCUAAACCUGGCAUGACCAAGGACCGAACAGGUGCCACGGACAGUUCGCCGGCGCUGCAGGGCUAGCUCUCCCAGCCCAUGGCUGGGCACGGUUUAGAGAGGAGGCAGGACUCCGGCAGGAUCGGAAAGGAAGGGAAGCGGUGAGGCCAGGAAGCCUAAGAGUUGCCCUGCAGAAAAGAGAGAAUCCUGAGGCUCAGAGGAACUGCCACUUGCCGUCGUGAGGAAGAAGUCAGGUUGUAGCUCGUGUCAGCCCCUCCUUUGUGAGGUUUCUGUCAGCGGCACUUUCAGCACUCUGCCAUCCACAGAAUGUCCCGACAGUUAAUGAAACAGGUAUCAUGGAAUUUGGGGGAUUUUAAAAAUCCUUGGCUGGAGGGUGAGCCAGUCCCAGCACCCGGAAGGAAGCUCUCCGCCUCCAUCCCAGGCUUCUAGGGCAGAGAAGCUGAGCUGGUCCCAGCACCCAGAAGGAAGCUCCCCGCUGCAAUCCCAAGCUCCUAGGGCAGAGAAGGUGAGCCACAUGGGUGCCAGAGGCACCCCCCUCCCUGGGAAAAUGAG
RNAcentral lists this long non-coding RNA (804 nucleotides) under Heterocephalus glaber (naked mole-rat). RNAcentral describes it as "lncRNA (ENSHGLG00000047514.1)". Lineage: Eukaryota; Metazoa; Chordata; Mammalia; Rodentia; Bathyergidae. The record is from RNAcentral.